GGGCCACCGAGUAACUCCCAACCCCUGUGAACAUACCAAUUGUUGCCUCGGCGGAUCAGCCCGCUCCCGGUAAAACGGGACGGCCCGCCAGAGGACCCCUAAACUCUGUUUCUAUAUGUAACUUCUGAGUAAAACCAUAAAUAAAUCAAAACUUUCAACAACGGAUCUCUUGGUUCUGGCAUCGAUGAAGAACGCAGCAAAAUGCGAUAAGUAAUGUGAAUUGCAGAAUUCAGUGAAUCAUCGAAUCUUUGAACGCACAUUGCGCCCGCCAGUAUUCUGGCGGGCAUGCCUGUUCGAGCGUCAUUUCAACCCUCAAGCCCCCGGGUUUGGUGUUGGGGAUCGGCGAGCCCUUGCGGCAAGCCGGCCCCGAAAUCUAGUGGCGGUCUCGCUGCAGCUUCCAUUGCGUAGUAGUAAAACCCUCGCAACUGGUACGCGGCGCGGCCAAGCCGUUAAACCCCCAACUUCUGAAUGUUGACCUCGGAUCAGGUAGGAAUACCCGCUGAACUUAAGCAUAUCAAUAGCCGGAGGAAA
This 531-nucleotide ribosomal RNA is filed under the name Fusarium sp. MSEF22. RNAcentral's name for it is "eukaryotic LSU rRNA". The stretch from base 150 to 303 matches the Rfam family "5.8S ribosomal RNA". The record is from RNAcentral. Lineage: Eukaryota; Fungi; Ascomycota; Sordariomycetes; Hypocreales; Nectriaceae.